UACGUAGGGGGCAAGCGUUGUCCGGAAUUAUUGGGCGUAAAGGGCUCGUAGGCGGUUUGUCGCGUCGGGAGUGAAAACACCGGGCUUAACUCGGUGCUUGCUUUCGAUACGGGCAGACUAGAGGUAUGCAGGGGAGAACGGAAGUUCCUGGUGUAGCGGUGAAAUGCGCAGAUAUCAGGAGGAACACCGGUGGCGAAGGCGGUUCUCUGGGCAUUACCUGACGCUGAGGAGCGAAAGUGUGGGGAGCGAACAGG
Molecule: ribosomal RNA, 254 nt
Filed under: uncultured bacterium
Lineage: Bacteria
Description: partial 16S ribosomal RNA
Rfam family: Bacterial small subunit ribosomal RNA
Source: RNAcentral